This is a long non-coding RNA of Homo sapiens (human), 1186 nucleotides long. Ensembl annotates it as long intergenic non-protein coding RNA 1858. The record is from Ensembl. NCBI's taxonomy places the organism in Eukaryota, Metazoa, Chordata, Mammalia, Primates, Hominidae.
GGAGGAAAUUGUAACGUAUCUCUGACCAACCACCCAGGUGAUAACACUUCUGCCUGAUUCCUGUUCUCAGGGAAGAUUGUGACAUAUCCCUGGCCCAGCACCCAGAUGACGUAACUCUCCUGUGCAUGCCCUAUCCACACGUGUGAUUUUGACAUACACCUCUGCCUUGCACCUGAGUAAUGUGACUCUUUAGCACCAGCACAGCCUACAGAUAGGAUUGUGCCACACUGCUGGACCCAGCACCUAGAAGCAGGAUAUGUACAGAAUUGUUGAUCUCAUCUGUGGACCUUCCUGCAAGCACGAUUGUGCCAUAUGCCUCUGUAUACGCAAGGGUGAUUGUGCCAUAUGCCUCUGUAUAGUUUACUCUCCUGCCUGGAUUUAGCCCACAGAUGAAAUUGUGACAUAUCGCUGGACCAGAAACUAGGUGAUGCUACUCUCUACUUAUGGCUGGGCCUUGACAAAAAGAGGGAUUGGGACAUAUCCCUGGACGCUGAACCUAAGAGGUGGAGGUUGCCGUGGUGACAGAGUGAGACUUCGCCAAAACAAAACAAAAAAAACAACAACAAAAAGGGGUACUUUCUGCCCACAAAUGAGAUUGUGGCAUCUAACCCUAAGGUGAUGUUACUUCUUUGCUCUGGCUGUGCCCUUAGAAAACACUGAAACAUACUGCUGGGUCCAGCACCAAGAUUAUGUGAGUUUUCUGCCUGAACCCUGACCACAGGAAGCAUUGUAACAUAUCUCUUGACCCAUUGCAAUUUCUCCUAUGGGCAAAGCCCAGGUAAAUGCCUUCUUUUUUCUACAUGAUGUGACUCUCCUCUUCUGGGGUUUGUCUACAGUGGGAAUUGUGAUAUGACUCUUCUUUCAUUCUUGGGCCCUUUUCAGUGGGGUGAUUGGAACAUAAAGCUGAGCCCCAUAUCUAGGUUAUGUCUUUCCUCUUGUUUAUGAGCCCUACCCACAGAAGGCAUUGUGACAUAUCCCUAGCCUUUUACCUAGAUAAUAUGACAUUUUUGCCUAGGCCUUCUCCUCAGGGGGUAUUGUGAAAUAUUGCUGAACUGAGAACCUAGGUGAUGUGACUCUCCUCUGCUGCCUGGGCCCUGUAUACGUUGUGUAUUGCAACACAUCUCUGUGUCCAACACUGAGGUGAUGGGCCCUCCCACAGAUAUAUUAAACACAUCUUUGUAUUUAU